This 480-nucleotide ribosomal RNA is filed under the name Triticum aestivum (bread wheat). Its description in RNAcentral is "partial small subunit ribosomal RNA". The record is from RNAcentral. Lineage: Eukaryota; Viridiplantae; Streptophyta; Magnoliopsida; Poales; Poaceae.
AUGUGUAGACCCGAUGACAUCAACAUACAAGAUGACAAGUUCUACCUAGGAGAUGUUGGCUAUGCAUGUCGGCCAGGUGUUCUUCCACCCUUCAGGCAAACCAAGUACCAUCUGAACGAGUUCUCUGGUAGAAACUAUCCUAGGACUCCUCAGGAACUAUUCAAUCUCAGACACUCCAACCUUAGAGUAAUGGUUGAGAGGGCAUUUGGAGCUUUGAAAAACAGGUUUAAAAUCCUAGACCAGAGGUCAUUCCAGCCUUACCCUACCCAGCUUAAGCUUGUUCUUGCAUGUUGCAUCCUUCACAACUGGAUCCUACAAUGGGGUUGUGAUGAUCUUGUGCUGGAGGAAGAAGAUGUGACGCCUGAUGAGGUGGUCAGCUCCAACCAUGGUGUGAAGGUGUUUGACAACGAAGCAUGGAAGAACAAAAUGUUGGAGUGGACUCAGGCAAUGUGGGAUAACAGAGGUCAGACAUGGAUCUGA